CCUACGGGAGGCAGCAGUAGGGAAUAUUGCUCAAUGGGGGAAACCCUGAAGCAGCAACGCCGCGUGGAGGAUGAAGGUUUUCGGAUUGUAAACUCCUUUUGUUAGAGAAGAUAAUGACGGUAUCUAACGAAUAAGCACCGGCUAACUCCGUGCCAGCAGCCGCGGUAAUACGGAGGGGGCAAGCGUUACUCGGAAUCACUGGGCGUAAAGGGCGCGUAGGCGGGAUAGCAAGUCAGAUGUGAAAUCCUAUGGCUUAACCAUAGAACUGCAUUUGAAACUGUUAUUCUAGAGUAUGGGAGAGGUAGGUGGAAUUCUUGGUGUAGGGGUAAAAUCCGUAGAGAUCAAGAGGAAUACUCAUUGCGAAGGCGACCUGCUAGAACAUAACUGACGCUGAUGUGCGAAAGCGUGGGGAGCAAACAGGAUUAGAUACCCGAGUAGUC
This 440-nucleotide ribosomal RNA is filed under the name uncultured bacterium. Its description in RNAcentral is "partial 16S ribosomal RNA". It matches the Rfam family "Bacterial small subunit ribosomal RNA", at positions 338 to 795 of the family's 1533-position model. The record is from RNAcentral.